This 212-nucleotide ribosomal RNA is filed under the name uncultured bacterium. Its description in RNAcentral is "partial 16S ribosomal RNA". It matches the Rfam family "Bacterial small subunit ribosomal RNA", at positions 1289 to 1500 of the family's 1533-position model. The record is from RNAcentral.
CAGUUCGGACUGCAGGCUGCAACUCGCCUGCACGAAGUUGGAAUUGCUAGUAAUCGUGGAUCAGCAUGCCACGGUGAAUACGUUCCCGGGUCUUGUACACACCGCCCGUCACACCAUGGGAGCCGGUAAUACCCAAAGUCAGUAGUCUAACCGCAAGGAGGACGCUGCCGAAGGUAGGAUUGGCGACUGGGGUGAAGUCGUAACAAGGUACC